Molecule: ribosomal RNA, 468 nt
Filed under: uncultured bacterium
Lineage: Bacteria
Description: partial 16S ribosomal RNA
Rfam family: Bacterial small subunit ribosomal RNA
Source: RNAcentral
GACGAACGCUGGCGGCGUGCUUAACACAUGCAAGUCGAACGGAAAGGCCCUGCUUUUGUGGGGUGCUCGAGUGGCGAACGGGUGAGUAACACGUGAGUAACCUGCCCUUGACUUUGGGAUAACUUCAGGAAACUGGGGCUAAUACCGGAUAGGAGCUCCUGCUGCAUGGUGGGGGUUGGAAAGUUUCGGCGGUUGGGGAUGGACUCGCGGCUUAUCCGCUUGUUGGUGGGGUAGUGGCUUACCAAGGCUUUGACGGGUAGCCGGCCUGAGAGGGUGACCGGCCACAUUGGGACUGAGAUACGGCCCAGAAUCCUACGGGAGGCAGCAGUGGGGAAUAUUACACAAUGGGGGGAAGCCUGAGGCAGCAGCGCUGCGUGCGGGAUGACGGCCUUCGGGUUGAAAACCGCUUUCGCCUGUGACGAAGCGUGAGUGACGGUAAUGGGUAAAGAAGCACCGGCUAACUACGUG